CGCACCUGCUCUUGCAGCCAGCCCGGCCCUACUCAUCCUCUUUGGCAGGGCGAAUCAGCAGAAAGUACUGGCUUUGUUUGAAUUGAGUCUUCUGUCACCUGCAGCUGAAAGAGUUCUGAUAAGAGAGUUGACAAAGAGACAAGACUUAGACACCUUUAAACGCUUCUGGGUGUGAAAUGCAGUCACUACACUUUCCCAAGAAAAAGUGCACAUUUGAAAAAGCAAUUAGAGUAAAUCAACAGGGCAAAAUGCUACUUGGAGAAAAUACAGUAAAAGAAGAAUUGGAAUGGGAUGAGAUUAAUGAAGGAAAGCUUCCUGUAGAAGUAUAGCACCCAUGCAGCAAGAAUGUUUAUUGUGUGCCACAAAGUGGGACAGAAGAGAGAGAGAGAGCCGACGGGAAUGAAGAACAGCACAAGAGCAACCAGUAUGGAGCAUCAACUGAGGAUCACAGGGUUUGAUGGUUGCCUGGGUGGAAGUCAGUAUGGACGGAUGAUGACUGAGGACCAAAUACCCGCUCUCACACCCCAAACUCAGCCUUAUCUGUGAUCUCCUCGGGUGCCAGCUCCAAGUACAAAGACAGCAGCAGCAGUUCUGGACCCCUUGUUGAUGCCCAACAACAUCCAGGAGAAAAGGGACCAUCUUUCCCUGUACUUUCUUCUAAGAAAAAGAAACAUCUUCCAGAGCAUUUGGCAAAUUUCUCCCACACUGAGCCACAUGCUCGUUCCAAACCAAUCCCCAUCACUGGAAGAAUACAGGUUUGACUCAGACUAAUCAGGGCUCAUCUUUGACUGAGGUCAACUCUCCCAAUUGCCUGGCUACCACAAAAUGAGGGAUAGAAUGGACAUUGCAGAACAACCACAAUUACAGUCCUCCCCUUUACUGCCCAAUAUUCACACACACCCUCUGUGCUAUGUUACAAUCUCCGAAAAGCCAGUGCCUAAUAAGAUGCACACAUGCCCUCUUAAGGAAGUACCACCCAAACUUCACCCAAUCAUGUAUCCAGUGGCAAACCCAGGAUCUCUGGGAGGCGUACAAUCCAUCAAGUCAAUUACAUGCACCUGGAUUGAAAAGAAAUCAGGCAGGAAAUGAGGUGGUUGUUUCUUGUUCAUGCAUGAGCCUGGAACACUGAGUCUCAGUGCUCUCGUGUAUUAAAUGAGAAUAGUAAUGUCUGCUACGCAGGUUGUGAUGCUGAUUGAAAAUAAAAUAAAAAAUGACAAAAAUAAACCAAUAUGAGCUGUGCAUAUUCAAACCUCACCUGCUGAUCAUAGUAAAUGCAUUGCAUUUGCAGCUGAUAUGCCGAGAUCCUGGAGCUCAAAGUGAUACCCCUUUGAUUAGCACAAAGACCUGCUAUUUUCCCCUGGGGUAACCUCCUCCCCCUAGUUCCUCCUAGGAGUUUGAGUAUGUUCCACACAUAGUUAGAUCUGUCAUGCUGGCUGCAGUCCCACUGUUCUCCU
RNAcentral lists this long non-coding RNA (1454 nucleotides) under Equus caballus (horse). Its description in RNAcentral is "lncRNA (ENSECAG00000034341.2)". Lineage: Eukaryota; Metazoa; Chordata; Mammalia; Perissodactyla; Equidae. The record is from RNAcentral.